This 4656-nucleotide small RNA is filed under the name Pongo abelii (Sumatran orangutan). RNAcentral's name for it is "retained intron". Lineage: Eukaryota; Metazoa; Chordata; Mammalia; Primates; Hominidae. The record is from RNAcentral.
CUGACUCGAGCUGGGCUCCAGGCCGCAGGAGCAGGACACUGACUGGGAGCUUCCUGGGGGCUGCUUCUACUGGAAGUCCUCUGGGAAGCCAAUGAAACAGUCCCCAAGGCCCACAGAGGAGGAACAGAGCGGGGCCAACUUUAGGCACAUGUGGAAGACAAGUCAGCAAGGGUAGGCUGGGCCGGUGGAGGGCACGGCAGGGAGACAGAUGAGCGGGCAUCACAGGUCCUCAAAGCGGAGACCCAAAGGCACCUGGAGCUCUCACCCGAGGGUCAGAAUCCUGGUGCCUUUGUAGGAACAGUGUGGGACAGGAGGCAGCGCUUGGUGAGCAGCAUGCUGGCGGGAGAGACUUCUUUCCAGAGCCGGCUCAGCACAUCGGGUCCAUGCAGAUGUGGGCACUGGGCGUCCUCAGGGGUCUCCCAAACGGAACUCAGAGGUGUGUGCUGCAGGCGAUGGCAGGCAUGCGGAGCUGGGACCGCCACAGGGUAUCCCUGGAGAGCACACGUCACAGUCAGUGGGUCAUGGCCAACUCCAGGUGGAGUGGCCCUGGGCAAGUGACUACAUCUGGGUCUCAGGUUCCUGGUCUCUGAAAGGGGUACUAAUAGCCCCUGCCAUAGAGGGAAUCAGGUGAUCCAGUGCCUGCUGUGGAGCUAGAAAAUAGAGAAUGGCCACAGAAAGUGCAGGCUUCCUCAGGACUGGUCAGGUGCAGGUGUUAUUUUGUCAAUGAUAUUGUCUUAGAUAAAUACAUUUGCAAGGAUGAAAAUAGCAGUUUAGGGGUUUUUGAGCCACUUGAAAAGCACAUUGUUGUUUCUAGAGCAGUAGCUGUACCCCUCCUAACUGCUCCCCUGGUGUCACACACUCCAUGGACUUGAGUGCAGCACCUCUGCAGCAGCGCUGCCCCGCAACACCCAAACCCCCAUCAGUGCCUUCCUCAGAGCAGCCUGUGCACACCCUCUGCCCUCGGGGCUAGAGUUCCUGUCUCCUAGGGCACCUGUGCCUCCGUGAGCCACCUGUCCCCUCCAGAGCCUCCGGAGGUGGCAUCUCCGUUUCACCAGUGGGCAGCAGGGCAUAGGGAAUGGCUCAGCCAUGGGUCCAGGCUUGCUCCACAGCGCAGGAAGGCCUUGGUGGAGCCUAGUGCCGCUCCCUGCCCUCUAGCCCAGCUGCUGCAGGCACAAGGCCUCUGCCUGCAGGGUGCCCAAGCAAGCAUUUGCCUUGGCUGCAGGAUGCCAUGCAGCAUGCCGCAGAGUCGCGGGAUGCCGAGCUGGCCCAGAAGUUGCUGCAGUGGUUCCUGGAGGAAGGCAAGAGGGAGUGCUUCGCAGCCUGUCUCUUCACCUGCUAUGACCUGCUUCGCCCAGACAUGGUGCUUGAGCUGGCUUGGAGGCACAACCUCGUGGACUUGGCCAUGCCCUACUUCAUUCAGGUGAUGAGGGAGUACCUGAGCAAGGUAGGUGCCUGGCCGGCUGCAGCUCCCUGGCCCCUGUGUGGCACGACCCAACCCUGGCAGUGACUCUGGCCUCAGGUCUUAAGGGUGGGCCCCUUUGAGGCCAACCCAGAUUCCCCAGCCAGCCCUGGCUGCCUUCAGGAGUGGCUGCUUUCCUUCAUGCUCAAGUGGUUUUCUGCCCAACAUUAAGCCCCUCCAGAAAAUCAUCAUGGGGAGUGCCCACUGGCAGCAGCCCUCCUGCAGACUCCGGCUGGGCAGCUGUCCCAGUGUGCGCACUGCUGGGAGCACAACAGGCAUGCUCGUCCCCAGCCCUGGACUUCAUCAGGGUGACAGUGAGCUGGCUGGCAAUCCCAGCUCCCUGAGGAGCUCCCAGUGGCAUCUGGGGGUGCAGCUGUUAGCAUACGGUUGGUGGUAGCUGCCUUUUGCUGAACACAUAGUAGGAGUAUUCACAGAUGCACUGAAUCCUUCUAACAGCUAUAGGGAGGAUUACUCUCUGCCUCAUCAAAGUGACAGUACCUGAUUGUAAAACUCUCCCUGGGUGUUGAAGUCCUAGGAGUCCCUGCUGGGAUCUAGCUUUAGCCACUGUCCAGAGACCUGUGUCAGCAGUGUCAUCUGGUACAGUUUGUUGUAUCUAACACUGGAAAAGCCACUUCCAGUAGCAUCUACUUGCCUAUCUAACCUCCUUCAAGCCAGAUGGAGACCCUCGGAAAGCACUCAUGCUGAAGCAUCACUCAGUGGAGCAAGGGAAGGGAGGGGCCUCCCAGGUGAGUGGGAGGUAGGAAGGAAACAGGAAGGCGGGCUCAUGCUGCCAGCUUUAGCCUGGAGGGCUGCCUGCCGCCUGCAGAGCCUUCAGGGGGCUGCCCAGCCCCUGAUAAAGGCCAUCCCAGAGGCCAUUCAAGGCCAUUGCCCUCCUGUAGGAUAGUGUGACCCCAUCCCAUCUGCAUAGCAUGCCUGAGUGACACUCCCUGAUGACUCUCAAGGGGUGGGUAGGAAGGGACAGCUCUGGUUACGUGGCCUGAGAUUCGUGGGCUGCCGGGGAACAUGGACUGGUUGGACUGACAAGGGCCCUGGUUCCCCCACCACAGUGGAUGGCAGCUCCCUACAGGCGGCAUGUGUGGUAUGUGGUUUGUGGUAUGCAGUGUGUGGUGUGCAGAGUCUGGUGCGUGCCUGUGGAAGCUGCUGUCACCAUGAUGAGUGGGUUUUCCCAUCCCUCGGGUGUCUUUCCUGAAAGUAGUCUGUGUUCUGAGAACCAGCAAAAGGAAAGAAAGUGCUUGAAUCUCUUCCUGGCAGUAGAGGCCCAUGGGUUAGUGUCAGAGGAACUCAGGCUCACCAGGCCCUAGGGAUGUCAUUGCUGUGGGGGUCAAAGUGCUUGUGGGGAUCCCCCAGGACUUUGAGGCGCACAUUCCCUUUCUGUUGUGGAUGAUGGAGUUAGCAGCCACUAUCACGUUGGUCCACACUGUGGCUGCACAGCCUUGGCCCAGGGUUCCCAGACUCCACUGGCCCUGGGAAGUGGUGGCUGCUGCAGCACCUUCUCUGCUGCCACCCACCUAUUCCUGCUGGGGCAGAUGAGACACCUGUCAUGGGGAGAGUUCAAGGAGAGGAGGGGGCUGGCAAGGGGUUUCCCAGUCAGUGGCAUGGGGGUGUGAGCUGAUUGUCAGCUUGAGCUGGCACCCAGCUGACUCCACACAGCAGUGCUGGGAGAAUGAGGGCACGGACAAGAAGCACAGUCCCUUCCUGGUGGACAGCUGGGCCCGGGGCCUCGUGGCUCAUCUGGGAAGCUUCAGGGCCAUCCCUCUGAGAUGCCCCCAGUGCUCUCCCAGUGUAGGGAGGGUACAGGCCUAGCUCAGCCCUCACCCUAGGUGUCAGCAAGUGUGCCCCUUGCUCCCGCCUCAUUUCUCAGCCCCCCAGACCCCAGCUCAUGGGGGCACAUUCUUACUUCUCUUUCUUACUCAGUGUGUUUGUGAGGGGAUCCUAGCUGCACAGUUGCUGCCGCUCCUCUAGUGCACUGCUGCCGCCUCACUCUCUGGCAGUGGGUGGGGUCAGUGCCUGGUGAAGCCUCAGGGAAGAGCGAGGAGGCAGUUUGUCCUCAGUGCUUCUCAGGUGAAGUGUCUAGGUGCCAGGUGACUUGUCUCUGAGAGCCACAUGAUCUCUCGCUGGUUUGGAGGGGCAGGCAAACUAGACUGGCUGGAGUCAGAAGCAGGCAGUGUUCCCUGCACAUGGCCCCAGCCCUGCAGGUCAGUAAAUGGCAGUGUCCCUGUAUCCAGAGGAGGACUUGGCCCCCCAUGAGCAGGCCACACCCACAGCCUGUAACAACUGACUGCCCCAGUGCCCACUGGGAAGCUCUGGGGGCCCCACCUGGCGCUCCCUCUCAGCCCAGCUACUGAGGCUUCACCUCUCCAUGCCUUGCUGCAUUCUAAAGGUGCACGGGGUGUGGGCUGAGCCACUCCACAUCUGCCCAUGUGCCCCUCCUCCACUGUCAUUCUCCUGGAGGCCCUGUGUCCUGACCUUCCACUCCACUUUCACCUAGAGGCCGGACUGCACUCUGUCAAGCGGGUGCUCACAUGCUUUCGCCUCCUUGCAGGUGGACAAACUGGAUGCCUUGGAGAGUCUGCGCAAGCAAGAGGAGCAUGUGACAGAGCCUGCCCCUCUCAUGUUUGAUUUUGAUGGGCAUGAAUGAGACCCAGCUGAUUGCACUAAGCCAGCAGCUGAUGCUGACAGCAGGCCCUGCCAUCGGCCCAGCCCCUGCCAGCUUCCCCUAUGGAUAUGCCUCUGCUCCCAACUUCGCCAGCCUCCAAUGUACAACUUCCGCGUGUAGUGGGCGCUGUCACCACCCACCCUACCUGCAGAGUUACUAACUUCUCCAAGGAGCGUGUCACUCCAGCAGCACAGGGGAUGCAGUGGGAGGCAGGGACACCUGGACAAUAUUUAUUUUUGCUGAAACCCAAUGAUGGCAACCUCUGAGCCAUCCCAGAGCCUGGGGAGGCCAGGGUAGAGGCUGACGGCGCAAGACCAGCUUUAGCAGACAACAGGGACUGGACUGUGGGCCCUCCUGCUGGAGCCAGGCAUUCCUCCUGGGCGCCCCCGACUGGCUGGAGCUGCCCCCUCCAGGCCAGUUUGAAGACUACAUGAACACAUCUUGUUUGGAGGUACCGGACCUCAUAACAGGACUCUGAGCCUCUUGGCAAUCACAAAUAUUAAAGUCGGUUUAUCCAGGC